RNAcentral lists this ribosomal RNA (292 nucleotides) under uncultured Alphaproteobacteria bacterium. RNAcentral's name for it is "partial 16S ribosomal RNA". The record is from RNAcentral. Lineage: Bacteria; Pseudomonadati; Pseudomonadota; Alphaproteobacteria.
GGACUACUGGGGUAUCUAAUCCUGUUUGCUCCCCACGCUUUCGCACCUCAGCGUCAAUACUUGUCCAGUCAGUCGCCUUCGCCACUGGUGUUCUUCCGAAUAUCUACGAAUUUCACCUCUACACUCGGAAUUCCACUGACCUCUCCAAGAUUCUAGUCACCUAGUUUCAAAGGCAGUUCCGGGGUUGAGCCCCGGGCUUUCACCUCUGACUUGAGUAACCGCCUACGCGCGCUUUACGCCCAGUAAUUCCGAACAACGCUAGCUCCCUCCGUAUUACCGCGGCGGCUGGCAC